Molecule: ribosomal RNA, 499 nt
Filed under: uncultured bacterium
Lineage: Bacteria
Description: bacterial SSU rRNA
Rfam family: Bacterial small subunit ribosomal RNA
Source: RNAcentral
GACGAACGCUGGCGGCGUGCUUAACACAUGCAAGUCGAACGAAGCUGCAUGACGGAACCCUUCGGGGGGAAGAUUUGUAGACUGAGUGGCGGACGGGUGAGUAACGCGUGAGCAACCUACCUUGCAACGGGGGACAACAGUUGGAAACGACUGCUAAUACCGCAUAAGACCACGGAGUCGCAUGGCUCUGAGGUAAAAGGAUUUAUUCGAUGCAAGAUGGGCUCGCGUCCCAUUAGAUAGUUGGUGAGGUAACGGCUCACCAAGUCAGCGAUGGGUAGCCGACCUGAGAGGGUGAUCGGCCACACUGGAACUGAGACACGGUCCAGACUCCUACGGGAGGCAGCAGUGGGGAAUAUUGGGCAAUGGGCGCAAGCCUGACCCAGCAACGCCGCGUGAAGGAAGAAGGCCUUCGGGUUGUAAACUUUUGUCCUUGGGGACGAAACAAAUGACGGUACCCAAGGAGGAAGCUCCGGCUAACUACGUGCCAGCAGCCGCCGUA